GGGCAGGGUUACAUUGUAGAGGAUCUCUGUUUAGGUCAGGUGUGAGUAAGUACUGUGCAGGGUUACAUUGUAGAGGAUCUCUGUUUAGGUCAGGUGUGAGUAAGUACUGUGCAGGGUUACAUUGUAGAGGAUCUCUGUUUAGGUCAGGUGUGAGUAAGUACCGGGCAGGGUUACAUUGUAGAGGAUCUCUGUUUAGGUCAGGUGUGAGUAAGUACCGGGCAGGGUUACACUGUAGAAGAUCUCUGUUUAGGUCAGUUUUGAAACCCUAGAUAGGCCAACAAAGUCUGUUCAGUUAAGUUCAAUUUUCAAAUGUUUGGAAGGCUGCUAUCUUUAGAAGAACAACAGGGAUUAGCCUUUCCUAUAUUACCAUAGGUCAACAAUAUAAAUGUCUAAUUGGUCAGGUUUACAUUAGUUCAAACUUAAAAUAUUAUUCUCACAAAUAAAAAAAUUUAAGUUUUUGAAAGAAAUUUUACAUUGAGUUGAUUAAAAUAUAGCUUUAUAAAGAUAAUUAUGUUUAUAGAUUCCUAUUGUCGCUGAUAAUUAAUGAAGAUAAUGUGCUAUGUUUUGUUUUAUAUUAACGUAUUAAAAUAAUGUUAUUUAUUUAUUUAUUGAAAAUAAAAUACUUAUUUCCUUUAUGUAUAUGCUUUUUAUUAUAGACAUACUUCUUCAACACCAUUUGUAAAGAUAUACUUAAGUGUAAUUUGCAACCUAGACUAGGUUUUUCAUGAACAUGACUUUUCAUGACUGUUUACUCAUUGAUUAGAGAAUUGAUGUGAAUACUAGGAGUAAUAUUACUUAAUGUCACAAUAUUCAUUAUUAGCCCCAAAUUGCUAGAGUUGAAAUGUUACCUAAGGUACUAGCAUAGGAAAUAAAACUUGUUUAAAAUACAUAGUACAUUGAAAAAUUAAUUUAUUUUGUUAAGUAUUAAAAUAAUAUUUAAUAGCAAUACAUACCAGCUUUUAAACAUAAUAUAUGUAAUGUAGUAUUUUGAAAAGCUAUCUAUUAGGAUGGAUUUAAAAGCAAAGUACCUUAACUUUUGUCCCAUAAAAAUAUAAACAUGAAAUUUUGACAAAGUUAUUUAACAAUAUUUAAUGUUUAUAAUAUGGGUAUUUUAUUUUGGACUAUCAUUUGAUUUCUAGAAUCAAAGAUUUGGGAAGUUAUUUUUGUAUUAAUUGUUUAAUGACCUCUAAUGUAUGCAGUUAAACCCUCUGUGUGCACUGUGCUGUAGUAAUAUGUUUUAAAUGGGAAUUGUUGAGAUGAAGAAAGUAUAGUUUAUAAUAUGUUUGAGUUAGUACAUAGUACAGUUACAUACGUUAAUAGUUUGGCACUAUUCUAGAAACUGUUGUUCUAGAGGGUUUUCAGGAAAGGAAUUUCAGGGUUUUUGCACAUUUUUCUUCUGAGACAUUUACAUUUACUCAGAGGCUUAGAAUUGAUGAAUUUAUCCGUAGUUUUGACAAGAGUGAAUAAAACUCUAGGGGCAUUUUCCCAAGUUCUUCUUUGGCUUCCAGUUGUUAUCUCUGUUUCUUAUCACUUUUCUGGUUGCUCUCCCUUGAUCCUGAAGAGUGUCGUCUACAGAUGGCCAUAGCAGCUCCUUGUGUACUGUUUCUCCCGAUUCCUAAGUCAGACCUCUAGGCCUCCUCAUCCACCAGGGACGCCAGACACCUAGGGCACUAUCUCCAGCAGUUGAGACUAGUUCCUCAUCGUUGACUGGAAGACAGGUUGUUGCCUGUGACUAUUGUUCAGGAAUUUGAAGGGUGGGGAUCAUUUCGGUGUGGUGGAACCACAUUUUAGUGGAUAUGACAUUUCAACAAGGCUUUGAAAGAUAAAUGAGAGAAUUUCUGUUGUAAAUUAGGCAAAGAAGAACUUUGUAUCUAUAUGCCUUCAAUAGAUGUAGGACCAAGCAAAU
Long non-coding RNA from Peromyscus leucopus (white-footed mouse), 1906 nucleotides. RefSeq lists it as uncharacterized. The record is from RefSeq and is a predicted model, not a curated record. The transcript has 2 exons. Lineage: Eukaryota; Metazoa; Chordata; Mammalia; Rodentia; Cricetidae.